CUCAUAAGGCAGAUCCCAAUGAUCACUAGGUAAUUAAUGGCACCAAUAAACUGAUCUAGAUUAGGUGUGUGUGUGUGUGUAAUUCACUGUUUGAUCUGCUGCAGUCUCUGACAAGACAGCCAGACGUUACCCUACGGAACGAGCUCAGAGCUCAUUA
This is a long non-coding RNA of Portunus trituberculatus (swimming crab), 157 nucleotides long. RefSeq lists it as uncharacterized. The record is from RefSeq and is a predicted model, not a curated record. Lineage: Eukaryota; Metazoa; Arthropoda; Malacostraca; Decapoda; Portunidae. The transcript is spliced from 3 exons.